CUGCUCACUUUGGCAGCAUAUAUGCAUAGAUAAGCCUGGAAUAAUACAGAGGAGAUUAGCAUGAACUCUGAGCAAAGGUGACACAUAAAUUCAUGAAGCAUUCCAUAUUUUU
Molecule: small nuclear RNA, 112 nt
Filed under: Phascolarctos cinereus (koala)
Lineage: Eukaryota; Metazoa; Chordata; Mammalia; Diprotodontia; Phascolarctidae
Source: RNAcentral